Molecule: ribosomal RNA, 749 nt
Filed under: cf. Myrothecium sp. 87/HC2
Lineage: Eukaryota; Fungi; Ascomycota
Description: SSU rRNA
Rfam family: Eukaryotic small subunit ribosomal RNA
Source: RNAcentral
GAGGNUCCUUGGUGAUUCAUGAUAACUUCUCGAAUCGCAUGGCCUUGUGCCGGCGAUGGUUCAUUCAAAUUUCUUCCCUAUCAACUUUCGAUGUUUGGGUAUUGGCCAAACAUGGUUGCAACGGGUAACGGAGGGUUAGGGCUCGACCCCGGAGAAGGAGCCUGAGAAACGGCUACUACAUCCAAGGAAGGCAGCAGGCGCGCAAAUUACCCAAUCCCGACACGGGGAGGUAGUGACAAUAAAUACUGAUACAGGGCUCUUUUGGGUCUUGUAAUUGGAAUGAGUACAAUUUAAAUCCCUUAACGAGGAACAAUUGGAGGGCAAGUCUGGUGCCAGCAGCCGCGGUAAUUCCAGCUCCAAUAGCGUAUAUUAAAGUUGUUGUGGUUAAAAAGCUCGUAGUUGAACCUUGGGCCUGGCUGGCCGGUCCGCCUCACCGCGUGUACUGGUCCGGCCGGGCCUUUCCCUCUGUGGAACCCCAUGCCCUUCACUGGGUGUGGCGGGGAAACAGGACUUUUACUUUGAAAAAAUUAGAGUGCUCCAGGCAGGCCUAUGCUCGAAUACAUUAGCAUGGAAUAAUAGAAUAGGACGUGUGGUUCUAUUUUGUUGGUUUCUAGGACCGCCGUAAUGAUUAAUAGGGACAGUCGGGGGCAUCAGUAUUCAAUUGUCAGAGGUGAAAUUCUUGGAUUUAUUGAAGACUAACUACUGCGAAAGCAUUUGCCAAGGAUGUUUUCAUUAAUCANGAACGAAAG